GCUUCUCUUGGUUAUCCUGCAUCGGGAACAAUUUAGAUAGCUGAAGACAGAGAAACGAGAAGAAACUUUUGGCUUACCAGUGCGUUUUGGGAUUCUGGCGUGGUAGCGCCGGCGUCUCUCCGGCUGCCCUUCUUCUUCUUCUUCGGUCACCUAUUUCGGUAAGGGUUUUAGAGCCGACUGAAGAGAGGUAUUUAAACCUCUCUUCCCUUUAUCUUGGCUGUCCAUUUGGGUCAACGAGGGGUAAGGAAGGUCGUUUGAUCAGGCUUAUUUGGAGAAUUGUUCUGGGUCAUCCAUUCAAGUUCGUGUGGGGCAAUAGGAGCUGUUCGAUAGGACUUGCUCAGGGAAUUGAUAUAGGCCGUUCCUGCGCGCUAGAGUGGACAUGAGUCAUCUAAUCUUCCUGGCACGCGGAUUGCAGCGUAGGCUUCUCACAUGGAGCCCGUGUUGAUGUGGCUGCCAUGCGGCAUGUAGCUAUCCGCUGCGCUACUGAUUUGGCAUCCACAUGUCCCUUUUUCCCUUUUUGUGAAUUGAUCCCUGUUUUUCAAAUCUUUCUUUUAAAUGUGCCAUUUUUUUUUACAGUUUGGCCCUAGUUUUUGAAAUUUGUUUUCAAAAGUGCUCGAAAUGUAUAUAUUCCUCUUAAUAAUUAUUUUUUUACAUUCUUUAAAUAAAAAAAAAAUUGAGCUAUUAUUAUUAUUUAAGAAAUUUAAAUUUACUAUUCCAAGAUAAUUUUUUCGAACUCGGGAUGUUACAAUAACAGCGGUCACAAUUAUACUAUUUCUAGUAAAAAGGGACUCCAAAAUACGCAAUAACACUCAUAUCUCAACUCGUAUGAUGCGUAUUACCAUAAAUCAUCAAUUUGUCACACGUGAAAGGGGUACCAAACUCAUCUCGACCGUUAAUCCGGUCACCCACACACCCCUCUCUCAAUGGUAACUGAUUGAACGGUAUACUCGUCAACUUUGCACAUUGUAAUAUAAUUCAACAAUAUAUCACAACCCUUUCCAUUUAUUUUUUUUAACAGAUCUUGUCCCCAUUUAUUUUCCUCUUUAACUCACACAUGUGCUUCUUUGUUUCCUCUCUAAUCUAUUUUUUUUAUUAAAACUAAAUUAUUUUCCCCUUAUUUUCUAUGUUGUCCAUAUUAUUAUUUUUUGUUCCCAUACAGACCAAUCCUCUAAAUUCUAUAAUUUCCUCUCCUGCGUAUGCACACCAGUAUAUAUAUACACACACACAUAUAUAAUUAUUUUUUUGUUAUUCCCCUUGUUGACUAAUUUUUGUUUUUAUAUUUCCUCCCCUACGUAUACACACCAGUAUAUAUAUACACUCAUGCAUAAUUAUUUUUCUACUAUUCCCCUUGUUGCCUAAUUUUGUUUUAUAUUUCCUCCCCCUGCAUAUGCAAACCAGUAUAUAUAUCUACACAUAUAUAAUUAUUUUUCUGCUAUUCCACUUGUUGCCUAAUUUUGUUUUUAUAUUUCUUCCCCUGUGUAUGCACAUCAGUAUAUAUAUACACACACAUAUUUAUUUUUCUGCUAUUCUCCUUGUUAUCUAUUUUGUUUUUAUUUCUUUUUUUUUAUAAUUUCCUCAUCUAUACAAUGCCCAGUACCCUUCACUAAUUUACCUUGAAAUUUCAAAGAUGCUCUUAUAAUUUAAUUGGCUAAAUUUUUAAAUCCUUACCUGCUUUGUUGUGUUGUAUUCUAGUGUUUCCAUCCUAUAAUCAUUCCCCCAUUAGAUCUCAACCCCUUAUUUUACUCAAAUAACUCCCCAACAUUAUAAUUCCCAGAUAUGGAAUUUUUAUAGAAUUCAUCAGAGCUGAUAUAUCCCUCAUGCACAUCAGUUUAGGUGCCCAAACUAAAUUUCCAACACUGGUGCUCAUCGUUUAAUUGAUGCAGAAAUUACAUACUCAGGUACCUAAUCUUAAAACUAUUGUACCAUUCAUUUCAGGAUCUACAACUACCAAUUAGAGGACACUGGUAAACCUUACUGCAUAACUGUUUUAAACCAAAAAUUGGGUGUAUUACAUCACUAUUCAUGCCUUCAGCUAAAACAGAAAAUUAUUCAACCCAUUUUUCACUCAUAUUUGAGGCCUAAGGGUACUAAUUAUUGAGAUAGAGUAAGGUGGUAAAUAAUCCUUACCUCUUCGACAAAAGGUGAUGCAGGUGGUCUCGGUGUGGGGGUUCCUUCUUCCUAAGCUGAAAUUGGUACCCAN
RNAcentral lists this long non-coding RNA (2200 nucleotides) under Carica papaya (papaya). RNAcentral describes it as "long non-coding RNA (CPAP_LNC004248)". The record is from RNAcentral. Lineage: Eukaryota; Viridiplantae; Streptophyta; Magnoliopsida; Brassicales; Caricaceae.